UACGGAGGGUGCGAGCGUUGUCCGGAAUCACUGGGCGUAAAGGGCGCGUAGGUGGCUGCUUAAGCGUGUGGUGAAAGCUCAGGGCUCAACCCUGAGUCGGCCAUGCGAACUGGGCAGCUGGAGCACUGUAGAGGCAGGUGGAAUUCCGGGUGUAGCGGUGGAAUGCGUAGAGAUCCGGAAGAACACCUGAGGCGAAGGCGGCUUGCUGGGCAUGAUCUGACGCUGAGGCGCGAAAGCGUGGGGAGCAAACAGG
Molecule: ribosomal RNA, 253 nt
Filed under: uncultured bacterium
Lineage: Bacteria
Description: partial 16S ribosomal RNA
Rfam family: Bacterial small subunit ribosomal RNA
Source: RNAcentral